Molecule: long non-coding RNA, 251 nt
Filed under: Homo sapiens (human)
Lineage: Eukaryota; Metazoa; Chordata; Mammalia; Primates; Hominidae
Description: HSALNT0357671
Source: RNAcentral
GUUUCAGCGAUCCUCCCGCUCCAGCCUCCUAGCCCCUCCAGGGCUUGCAGGACCUGGCGGGCCACACUCUUGGAGCCUUAGCUGAAGUGGCUGGGCAUGACGCUGUUUCUCUGACGGCCCUUGUAGAUCUUGGUCAUAGAGCCAACCCCAGCACCACCCAAGAGGAAUUUAUUUUCUGCACCAUACUUCUCUCCUUCUGGCCAGAAGCAAUUUGUAAUCCUGGUUCUCUGACUUGACCCUGGGCAGCCUUC